This 205-nucleotide long non-coding RNA is filed under the name Elaeis guineensis (African oil palm). Its description in RNAcentral is "long non-coding RNA (EGUI_LNC073851)". The record is from RNAcentral. Lineage: Eukaryota; Viridiplantae; Streptophyta; Magnoliopsida; Arecales; Arecaceae.
GACAACUAUCAAAAUUUGAAACUUCAAUCUUCACAUUCCUAAGGAUAUGCUCAUCUUGGUCGAACUGGUUAUGGUGCGGGCAUGCCCCUAUAGGUCGAUCAAGUUCUAGAUUCCUACCUCUCUGUCCUAUAGAUAGUCGGGGAGACUCAAGUUUUAGAUUAUUUCUACCUAGUUUCUUCCAAUACUACUAUUCUCUCAUCCAAGG